GAUGAACGCUAGCUACAGGCUUAACACAUGCAAGUCGCGGGGCAGCAUGGGGGUUGCUUGCAAUCCCCGAUGGCGACCGGCGCACGGGUGAGUAACGCGUAUCCAACCUGCCCUUCACCACGGGAUAACCCGGCGAAAGUCGGACUAAUACCGUAUGUUGUCCAUUGACGGCAUCCGAUUUGGACGAAAGGUUUGGCGGUGAAGGAUGGGGAUGCGUCCGAUUAGCUGGACGGCGGGGUGACGGCCCACCGUGGCGACGAUCGGUAGGGGUUCUGAGAGGAAGGUCCCCCACACUGGAACUGAGACACGGUCCAGACUCCUACGGGAGGCAGCAGUGAGGAAUAUUGAUCAAUGGGCGUAAGCCUGAACCAGCCAAGUAGCGUGCAGGAUGACGGCCCUAUGGGUUGUAAACUGCUUUUAUGCGGGGAUAAAGUGGCCCACGUGUGGGUUUUUGCAGGUACCGCAUGAAUAAGGACCGGCUAAUUCCGUG
This 490-nucleotide ribosomal RNA is filed under the name uncultured bacterium. Its description in RNAcentral is "partial 16S ribosomal RNA". It matches the Rfam family "Bacterial small subunit ribosomal RNA", at positions 28 to 507 of the family's 1533-position model. The record is from RNAcentral.